GACAACAGUGAACAGCGACUGAGGGGCUCAAGUGAAGCCACCGGAGCUCUCCAUCUCUUGGUUUUUACCUCUCUCUGCAGGCUCUGUUCUCACUCGUGGCUGAUGGGCAAAGGCGGCUACGGAGGCACAGCUACGUGCAGAUGUCCUUACAGCUUUGCAACCCUCAAGGAAAAAGAGAUGUGGAUUUUAUGGAAUAGGUGCUACGUGGAGGAAUCCUGAGUCAUGGCCAAACAGCAAAUGCCAGCAAGAGUAGAGUAGGAGGCAUUUCUGUGUACACUUUGGGAAAAAGUCCAUUCCUCACUUGGUUUCAUUCCUGGCCUGAGCCACUGUGUCCUCCACCUGAAGCCCUAACCUCUCCAUUACUGACUGGAUCCCAAUGUGCCACAGUUCACCUGCAUGAGGAGGGGUCAAAGACAAGAAAACUGAAAGUGAGAGGCUAAGUCAUUUGCUGAGGUCAUAUGACAUCUAAAUGGCAGAGCUCGGAAACCUCAGGGAUUAGAGUGAAGUGGGGUCUCACUCUGUCACCCAGGCUGGAGUACAGUGGUGCAAUCAUAGCUUACUGCAGCCUUGACCUCCUAGGCUCAAGCGAUCCUCCUGCCUCAGCUCCUGAGCAGCUGGAACUACAGGUGUGUGCCACCAUGCCUGGCUUGAUGUGCUAAAUCUUGCAAGGGCAUUAUUCGGAAAACAAAGAUCUCCAAAAUUUAGUCUUCCGUUAUGUCUGCAGAAUGCACUUAGUACAUGUUUGGUCAAUUUAACGUUCGUUGGUGAACCUGGCCAGCAAAGCUUGCGAAACAGAGAAUGUGAAUGCACAGUGCACGACAGUGGGCUGAGCUUUGGACAUCAACAGGGGAAUAAAAAUCAGUUCAGCUCUUGCUAAAAUAGUUUU
RNAcentral lists this long non-coding RNA (886 nucleotides) under Piliocolobus tephrosceles (Ugandan red Colobus). RNAcentral's name for it is "lncRNA (ENSPTEG00000006077.1)". The record is from RNAcentral. Lineage: Eukaryota; Metazoa; Chordata; Mammalia; Primates; Cercopithecidae.